RNAcentral lists this ribosomal RNA (173 nucleotides) under Pteropus dasymallus (Ryukyu flying fox). Its description in RNAcentral is "partial 12S rRNA". Lineage: Eukaryota; Metazoa; Chordata; Mammalia; Chiroptera; Pteropodidae. The record is from RNAcentral.
CACCGCGGUCAUACGAUUAACCCAAGUUAAUAGACAUACGGCGUAAAACGUGUUAAGGAAAUUACCCACCUAAUAAAGUUAAAUCUUGGACUAUGCUGUAGAAAGCUUUAACCCAGACAAAAAUAAACCACGAAGGUGACUUUAGACGAUCCAACCACACGAUAGCUAAGGCA